RNAcentral lists this long non-coding RNA (960 nucleotides) under Brassica napus (rape). RNAcentral's name for it is "long non-coding RNA (BNAP_LNC017897)". Lineage: Eukaryota; Viridiplantae; Streptophyta; Magnoliopsida; Brassicales; Brassicaceae. The record is from RNAcentral.
ACUAUUCCAGAAAGUACUUGAUGGCUGACUUAUGAAAUUAGUAUAACGUUUACAUACCACGAUUAUGAUGACAAACCAUUAUAAACCACAUAUGAUAUGAGUUUCUAAUUAAUUGAGGAUAUAUUCUCUUAGUUAGCUUUGAUUUUCUGACUGUGUUAAACCUGCAAAAAAAAAAAAAAAAAGGUUUUAAUUCACUCUUGAGUAGUGUUAGCGAUUGAUCAUAGAGCAGUCAUAUUCGUAAUCUAGCCACAUAGUGCAAGAGAGGUGACCAGAGGAAUGCGGAAGGUUGUUGUAUAUUAAUUCAGCAUGAGAAUGCGGUUGAGAUUGUAGGAAUAAAGUGAAAAUGUUGAUUUCAUGGAAAGUUAAUAUUAAAAAAUCAGAAAUCACUAUAACACGAUUGUAGAUCUCAGAAUAUAUAAGAUCAAGAGCAGGUUACCAAAAAUGUCGAGAAAUUCAAACUGAAAACACGCCACCGAAGAGCGCUUGUUCUUUCUUCUAACGCUGUAACCACACACCAAGUUAAAAAUUCGUCCAGUCGAUCAAAGAAACAAAAACUGCAAAAAAGUACAAAUAUCACAAAGAUAUCAUAGGCUGAUGUAUAUGGGAAGAACUCAUACCAUUUUAUAGGUCGAGUUUCACCGUCUGUAAGGGAGAUGAGAAGUACUGAAUGAGGAAUCGUGAGGCGUAGGUCUUAAGAGUAAAGAGCGCUAGUAAUGGAGAUGAACACUUAAUACCGUAACGUAACAGAGGAGAUGAAUCAGGAACGAAACAUUACAAAAGAGACCGACGCAGUGAUUCCAGACGAAUAACUGAGACGGAGAACCUCUAACAACCUCCAUUGGAGUUUGAUGACUUAAUCACAGCUUAAGAGUACGAACCCUAGAUCUAUCAAAGACGACAAUAUGAGAACGCCGCAACCUAUUAGUUUGUGUUUAUCAGCGUGAAAUAAAUGGAAUAAAU